Molecule: ribosomal RNA, 500 nt
Filed under: uncultured bacterium
Lineage: Bacteria
Description: partial 16S ribosomal RNA
Rfam family: Bacterial small subunit ribosomal RNA
Source: RNAcentral
AUUGAACGCUGGCGGCAUGCUGUACACAUGCAAGUCGAACGGUAACAGGGUGCUUGCACCGCUGACGAGUGGCGAACGGGUGAGUAAUGCGUCGGAACGUGCCGAGUAGUGGGGGAUAACGCAUCGAAAGGUGUGCUAAUACCGCAUACGUACUGAGGUAGAAAGUGGGGGACCUUCGGGCCUCACGCUAUUCGAGCGGCCGACGUCUGAUUAGCUAGUUGGUGAGGCAAAGGCCCACCAAGGCGACGAUCAGUAGCGGGUCUGAGAGGAUGAUCCGCCACACUGGGACUGAGAACCGGCCCAGACUCCUACGGGAGGCAGCAGUGGGGAAUUUUGGACAAUGGGCGCAAGCCUGAUCCAGCCAUGCCGCGUGUCUGAAGAAGGCCUUCGGGUUGUAAAGGACUUUUGUCCGGGAGCAAAUACCCAGUGCUAAUAACGCUGGGGGCUGAGAGUACCGGAAGAAUAAGCACCGGCUAACUACGUGCCAGCCGCCGCAGUAA